AUGAAGAAGCAACAAAAUCUUUUGUACAAUGUACUCAACCCCAUGGCACGUUUACAAAUUGUAGUUAGCAUGAGCGCAGAUCUAUCUUAGUGGACAACGACGGGAACAUGGAGGCGAGCAAGGCGGCUGAAAACCAGCAAGAGGGAAUUCUCUACGACCUUCUGCAGCCUGCGGAGUGGACGCUCGAUCCAGAAUUGCCCGCCAAGUCCACAUCCAGGCAGUUUCCAUGGAACCUUGCACUCUCUGCACGUGAUGCUGGUUCGACACUGUGGUCCUUGGCCUCGAGUCCGUUCAGAUGGCCAUCUCACACGACCACACUGCAGCAGGUUGUGGCACAGAAGCUGCCAUGGAAGCUAGCUAUUUCUCCCGACGGUCUCUUUCUGGCCAUUCUACAAGAUCGCCAUGUCGAGAUCAGACGAUGUGUGGAUCGGGAUGAGGAUACGUCCGUGUUGAUCGCUAGGUUCGACGUUCAUGCUGACAGCCAGCCUCACUGGAGGAGAAUUUGCUGGGAUGCGUCAUCGUCGUUUGUUGCAUGUUCAUUCAGCUGGGGAGAAGUCUGCGUGUAUGACAAGUUUGGACAGGCCGUGGCAGACCUGAGUAAGCAUGUUGUGCGUAGCGGCACGGAAGGGCCACACUUUGCCAUCGAACUUGCCGUGUGCGGCCUGCUGUUUGCACCAUGCACGUCGGCAAUGAACGGCCUGACUCAAGUGCUCGUGGUGACGUUUGGAGGGCAGCUCUAUAACUAUCUUGUCAAAGGUGGACGGGAGUCAUCGCUCCAGUACCGUUUUGACUUCUCGGCGCAUUCCAUUGAACUCGUCUCCGCUGUCACCUACUCCCCCAGCAAGAACUUGCUGCUUGUUGCUGCGUGCACGCAAACCAAAUCUCACGAGAAGAAAUCGUCGUCAGCUUCCGCUAGUAGUGGAAUGGUUCAGGUGUCUGUCCUCGCCUGGAGACUGUUGGACUCUGAACCGCAUUGUGCACGUUCUGUCGUCUCUGGAGAUCUUGGAUCGAGUCCGACAUCCCAGGACAUGCUCACGACUGUGCGCCGGAUUCGUCUGUUUGCUGGUAGCGCUGGUGCCAAUGUCGAAAAGGCUGUAAUAACACACAUGGCUCUAAGUCCGGACGGCAGUACACUGGCCACGGUGGACUGCGGCGGUACACUACACCUGAGAGAUGUGCCAUCACUGAGAGUGACACACACGUAUUCCUAUGCAGAACAGUUCCCGGAAGAUCCAGCAAAACUCUCGCUGCCCAGCUUUGCUGUCAAGAAGAAGAAGAAGGAGUUCUCCAGCAUCAUGAACGUCUUCUCUGACAUCAGCUGGUGGUCGGAGGAGGCUGUGAUUCUUGCAUGCGAUCGUGGUGACGUCGUUGUCUCGUCGUUUCCGAACAAAGAAAGUCUGCACAAUCGGCUUGGGGUACCUGAAGUGCUGGAGCCGUACCCUGCACUCGCAUCGGUUGCUGGUGCUGGUGGCUUCUAUGCCCUAGAGUGCGAUCGGCAGUUGGUGUCGCAAGACCGGCCUCGCCGUGCGGACUCCAGAGACGUAGCGGAACCGGUGUCCUCCGAUGAAGGAGACGGCGGUGCGGCAAGAAAGCCCAGGGAAGAGGACGGCGACGAUGAUGACGACGAGGAAGAAGAGGACGACGAAGACACGCCUCUCCUGCGCCGCCUGACCCGACGCUCCGCUACGGCUGGGAAGCAGAUGCUGUACUAUUUGACGGAGAGCGAUCGCUUCAGGACCGAGCCGAAGCGGCCCAAGGUGCCGCAGUUCACCUACCGUCUGUUCAGCCUGCAGUCGCGCACUCCCGAGGAGCUCUUCUAUCGACGGAUCACUGCUGAAGAAUACGGCGAGGCACUGCGCUUGGCACAGUGUUACGGCCUAGACAAGGAUCUGGUCUACCAGAGCCAGUGGAACGCCAGUUCUGCAUCACCUCACACUAUCCAGGAUUAUCUGGCCAAGAUCAGCAAACACUCGUGGGUGUUGAGUGAAUGUCUUCAGCGUAUUCCUGAUCGCUACGACACUCUGAUGGACCUACUGAACUACGGUCUGCUGCGCACCCAGUCCAGUGCUGUUCUGCAGCUGUCUGCUAUCCCUGGUAUUGAGCAAGGCACUUCCCAUGCUGCUAGUGGUGCAGAUGCUGCUGACUGGGCUGGGAGUAUCGGUGGUGGUGCUGAGGUGGAUCAGUUUGGCAAUCCCGUUUUCGAAACGCCAGUCGAGCGACAGCUGCGGGAGGAGAAGAUCUGGGACGAGCGGGCGAAGAAACUUCGGUUUGCUGCGUUGAGUGAAGAGCAGCAGAUGAUGGUGAAGAGUCGUGUGCAGCUUCUGCAGUAUAAAGAUAGGCUUGUCACCUACGAGUCUGUUCUUGGAAGGGACAGGGUCGACGAGGACUACAGCGUGGAGUUCUUCCGCAAGUUCCGUGAUGCCAAUCUCGUCCAGUCUGCACUGCAGUUUGCACAGGCUGCCGAGUGGAAGUCCGUUGAUGCAUUGUUCUGUCUCCAUGGAGAUGAGACCCUGCCGCAUAGAUUGGCCAUCCUGUCCCAUUUCCCGGAGACUAUGGAUCCUAAGGAGUACAAGUACUUGCUGCCGGAGCUCAGUGAGCGCGGUGAUGUGGUGGAGUUUAUCGGCGAGGAUCAGCGACCGCGGGACUGGGCUGAAGAGUUGCUUGAGCGGACGUACGGUGCUCACACUGACGCCGGAGAAUUCCUCUACACGGACACGCCAUCACUAGCUGCAUUCCGUGGCAAGCUGACGUCCCCGGUGGUGACUCACUGGUACAAGCAGCGCGCCGUUCAGAUCGAGUCACUGGCUGGUUUGGUGGAGAACAGUUUGAAACUGAUCACACUGGGCACGGAGCGCAACGUCAAGGGCCUGGACGGUUUGCAUGCCGAUUUGCUCACGCUGGAGACGCUGGUGUAUGAGUGUGGACAUGAUGUGACCUUGAAGCGCCUGCUGUCCAUGCCGCUGAGCGAACAGCUGGAGUUGAUACUGUCGCGGGCUCAGUCCGACGAUAGUGCAAUGUUCGUACGUGAUGUUCGCUGCUGGGCAAUGCCAUUGCUAAAAAAUGCUGAGAAACGUGGUGGCAGAGCCAGUGGUGCUGACCUGCUUGCAGACUACUUGCUGAAACGUGCCAAGGAUGAUCUUCGCUUGCCACUGGCUGUGUUCGAGGCGUCCGUUGGGAGCAAGCCGAUCAUCGACGACAAAGCCAAUCUUGUGCGCAUCGCACUCAGCUGCAUCUACGCCUGUGAAAGUGAAGAUCAGCUCAGCCUGUCGGAUGCUAUUGUACGCUGCUUGCCGUCAUCCAAGUCAAGCACUGCAAAGCAGCACCGAGAUCUUCUGCAGCAAGUCGACAAGCUUGAGGAACAUCUGGCCGCGGCUGAGGUGAUCUGCAGCUAUGACGUCAAGGUGUCGAUUCGCACUAUCAACAAUGUUCAGAGCGACGCCGCUGAAGUGGAGAAAGUGUUGAUGAAGCUGGCGCGGCAUGUUGCCAGGAGAUCGUGUAUGGAGUACUCUGAGUAUAGAGCACUGAUCGAUGAUAUCCUCAGGCUGCAGUGUGGUGUCUUCAGUGCAGUGACCGAGUACCGUUGCUACGAGAUCGUAGCGCGUGCACUGCUUGCGUCUGGCAAGCAAGCUCACCUGGUUCUUGCCGACGGUCUGCUGUCAGGCAGUGAUCAGCCGAUGGUGACCACCAUUCGCCCGGCGUCCGCUACGGGUGUGGGCGGUGGCCGCACGCCUUCCUCCGGAUCUCCGAGUCUCAACUCACUCCGCCACCGGUCCAGCUCGUUGCAGCCGAUAGCGUAUCGUAUUCCGUUCGACAGGUCGCUGACACUGGUGGUCGACUCUGCCAGAGAGUACUUCAACUCUGCGGCAAGCCUGGAUGACCCCGACAUGAUUCUUGCAUGCGAGUGUCUGGAUCUCAUUAAAGUCGAGUCCCCUGCUAUUCAAGCAGAGCUGAACCUGGUUAAUGCUGUGAAGCUCCUUAAUGACUUCUCAGUGCCGAUUCUCCCGUUGCAAGUGCGUCUGCACGAGAAUCGACUAUCUCUCGUGAAGAGUUGUAUAGCCGCAAGCCCCACGUCUUACAAGGACAGCGAGAAGCUUCUCUCUUUGGGCAUGCUGUUGACAUCGGGCGCCGAAGCCGUAUCGCCGACCUCAUCCAUGUCACAACUAGACGACGAACAUGCCGGUAUAAUCCUCAUGUGGAUCGCAGACAAGGCUUUGCAGGUGAAUGAUACUAGUUUUGCCAGUGAGACUCUCACGAAGCUCAUGGAUGUCAGCCAUGGUCCUGCUUGGAAACUCUGCAGAACUCUCGGGCUGUGCGAAGCCGCCGGUGACUUGACGUUCAGACGCCGUUUGCUGUCGUUUGCCAUCACUCACUGUCCGUCCGAUGCUAUGGAGCAACUGCUGGAGAACAUUCAUCUGUUGGAGGCUAAGUUCCUGUACUGUGAAGCCACAGAGCAUAGUUCAUCUAUCGUGCGGAGGGGCACUGCUGUUGUACAGUCGGUGGUGAUGCGCAGUGCGGACGCCGUCCAGUCCGUAAUGGACUCGUCCACCGUCAGCCGUGUCAUGGACAGGGCCAGCGCGGUGACAUCGUUUGUCAGCAUGGGUGCGGGCACCGUCACGCAGAUAGUGCGCGCUGGUGACCUGGGCAGUGGUGUGUCUGACAGCCGGGUGGGCAAGAGUGCUGGUGAGAUCAUGGACAGCUGUCGUGGCUGGAUGCAGACAGCGUCGUCCUACUGGCCUUCUUCUCUCACCACCGCCCAAACCUCCGAUGCCACGUCAUCGGCACCAGGCACGUCGGAGAACAACGCACCCAUGGCCCGGGGCAGUGUGGACGGCCAUGGCGAGCACCCAACCGGUGUGUUGAUGCAAGCUCAUUGUCAUCAGUUCUACACGGAUGUGUUCGCACGCGGAUCGGUAUCUGAUGACUGCUUCAGCUACUCGCACCUGUUCCAGGAAAGGUCUCAGCUCUCUCAGCAGAUCUCCCUGAAGCAAGGACUGCUGAGGACGUGCCGCAUUGUGGAGCAGCAGAAUCGUACUCCAGUGGAUGAAGCGGAAAUCACGCAAGUCUUGCUGCAACUGGCCGAGGACUGUUUGUUGACGGACACGUCUCUAGCAUUGUCCUACCUGCUCACUUUGCCAAAGGUUGACUCUGCAAACGUGCUGUUCGACCGCCUCCCAUCCUGCUUGCUCACCUACCAACUAGCCAUCUUUUACUACUGCUUGCACGUCUAUGCCCGCUGUGAGGUCAUCGUCAACAGCAGUAGUGCUGGCAAGGACACUUCGCAGGCUGACAAUAAGAAGCCUGACAAGGCAGCAGCUGCAGGCGGAAAGUCGAAGAAGGCACAGCGGGCCGCGAAGCAGGCGCCAGCGCAAACAUCUAGCUCUGCUCUGCCGUUGUUGAACCGCGCAUACAGCAGCUCCCCUGGCGAGAUUGUCCAGUGGGUGCUCGAUAAGAGCGGGCAGGUUGGUGAAAAGACAGACUCGGGUGACCUCAAUUGUGCUGAUCUAGAGCGUAUGCGUACCGAGGACCUUGCUGGUGGCUUGCGGAUCUAUCGGGAUCGACUGGCAGACUUUGUGCAGGCUGGUAUCUUGAGAGAGUUGGACGAUGGCAUUGAUGCAACGCGCUUUACGACCGACACCAGCUACAAGCGCGAGGUGAUUCUGUCGCUGUCGCGUCGCCUGGACGCCCAGUCGGUGAGCACGGCCCUGUCACUGAGCCGCCGCUAUGACCUGGGCGAGUGGCCGGUGUACAUGGAGCAUGCCAUCUUCCUCUUCAACAAUAGCCAACUCUCGUGGAACGACAUUCACGAACGGUUGACUGGCGAGCGGCUGCCGAGUCGAGAUAAUGGUGCGGCCACUGCUUCCAUCGGCGGCGAUACAUCGAGCAAUCGCGGUACAGCCGUUGUGGAAAUUCUUCUAUCCGACGCACAGAAGUUUGCUGAUCGUCUCCGCAGUGAUAUAUUUCCCAACCUGGAUGGCUGUGAUCAUGCACGUUUGCUGCUCUACUAUGACCUCCUUCAGCAGUGUGUCGGCCGUGGUGCUACAGAUGAGAAACCGAUUUCGGCAGUGCAACAUUCCAAGUCUCUGAAGAAGCUGAAGGCAGCAGUGCCUGGGCUGGAUUACAAGCAGUUAGUGUAUGGGUCGUCACCGCUGGAUGCCAUUCGCCCUGUUGUCAUGGCAUCCAACGUUCACGUCAUUGCCAAGAUGGUGGCAAAGUUGCCUGUGGCGGAUGGGUUCCUCUCUGCCAGCCGUGUGUUCGCUGCCUUCUGCAUCAAACUCUUCUGGGACGGCGAGGGCAAGAAGAAGACGGCCGAGAGCAGUAUGGACUGGGUGCAUCGGUAUGAAGCCGCUCAAGAGUACGUUUCUAAACUGUCGGCGGCCGACCUCCUGCAGUUCUGCCAGUCUAUGAUGUACUCGCAGCAGGCUUAUGAGCUUGUUCAAGUUGAAGCUCGCCUGGAGAUUUGCCGUCGCUGCACCAAGCUUUGUCGUCAGCUUGCUAACCCAUCUCAGCCCGGUCAGCUGAAGAAACGUGGCUCGACCGUGGGUAGCAGUGCGGCAGCCACGACAGAUGCAGAAGGUGAAACAUCAUAUGAAGAGGCAGUGCGCUACUUGCAGCGUUGUCUCUCACACCUGGAUUCUCUGCAAAACAGCGCCAUCAGCGAAUUGAAGGACAUAGAUACGCACUCGUCCACCGACUAUCACCGACGAUACAGCACUACACCUGCACAGCCGGAGCAGGUGGUGUCCCUGUGCACGGACCUGAUAACCAGCAGCGGUUGCUCGCUGCGCCUGGUGGACGACAUUCUCGCGUUGGCCAGCACGGUCUGCCCGCAUGGCACACAUCUCUCACGCAUGGUGCGCGACUUGAUCAGCCAAGCUCUGGACAGUAUUGGCAAUGGUGAGGAUGAGUUUUCCAGACUGUCCAGCUCGCUCUCCUCAGUCAGCACAUACUUGGAGUCGGGUGGCCAGUCGUUGCGCAGCAGUGACAUUGUGGAGUUGUUGCGUGCGUUCUGCGCCCAGAGCAAUAUCCAGAUGUCGUCGAGACUCUCCGUACUGCGAUUGCUGCAGCAGUCAUUCCACUUGUCCGAGGAGGACGAGGCACUGCUGCUGUUCUGCAACACCGCCGCUACCGUCAAACAGAUCUUUGAGCUGGAGAUCGAAGCUAGUGAAGUCGCCGAUUCAGCCAAGCGUCUGGAGUUGUUUGAGCGCCUGCUGUCACUCUGCGAGGAGAACCCAUCCUGUCUUUCUGGUGUUGCUGAGCUUAUCAACAUGUGGCCUCCGCUUCCAGCAUGUACUGAUGGUCGUAGUGCAUGGAGUGUGCUCUUCCUGAGAAUGCUAUCAAGCACUGACAGUAGCAAGGAGGACAACAGCAGCAGCAGCAGCAGCAGCAGAACUACUGUCCAGUUGUCAGCUGAAUGUGUACUGCAGCACCGACAGGCAGCCGUGUCUUGUCAGCAACAGACUCUCAAGGACGAUGAUGUUGUCGUUGACAUGCUGUUGUCAGCUGGUCAGACAGUGUCCGCUAUCAAGUAUUGCAUCAUUCCUGGUCACGAGCAGCUCAGAGCGCGAGCAAUUCAACUGCUUUCUGAGCACGAACAGCUGGAUAUUGCCGAGGAUGAUACCAGCUUGUCGGAACUAAUCAUUUCUCAUCAGAUGGCGGCCGGUGUUGCAGCCACCCCGUUCUGGGCCACUCACGUACGGCACAUGGCCCGGCUGAAUGCUGUGCAAGACUCCACCGACAACGGGCAAGCGGACCCCAGCGGCGGGAGCACUGCCGUGGCAACGGAUGACGACGCCGUUGCUAAGGAGCUGUGCGAUGCCGACCGUCCCGUCGAGGCUGGCUCGGUGCUGAUGUCGCUGCGCAACACGGCCGGUGCGCUGGCCACGUUUGACGCUUCUCUAUCCAUGGUCAGUAGCUGGUGGUCAGGUGCUGGUAGUGCUGGUAGUGCUGGUAGUGGUGGUGGGGAGAAGUGAUCAUCCGGUCUGCACGAGUGCGCUGUGCGAAUGCGCUGUGCGAGUGCACCGUGGUCUGCUGGCUCAUGGUUCAUACCUCCCAGUCCUUGUCUGACAUUUUCGUUCUUUUUCUUCGUAGUGGACAGGUGUGGUGGUGGUGGUGGUGGUGGGGAGAAGAUAUCAUUCGUUCUGCACCCCCUGCAUCCAUGGUCAGCAGACUCCAUUGCACCGCCUGGAACCUUAGUUCUGGUUUAUGGGUGAUGUUUAAGGUGGCAUUCCCCUCCCACAUUUGUCAGGGGGUCAACAUAGCUGGUGCAUAGGUGGUGAGAAGUGAUCAUCCAUUCUGCACGAGCCCGUCGUACGAAUGUGCCGUGAUCUGCUCGUUCAUAUCUCCUAGUCCUUGUCUGGCAUUUUCGUACGUUUACUUCCUAGGUUUCGAUGUACCAUCGCCUGCUGACUAAAUGCAUUUGGUGUGGUGGAAAAAAGCCACGAAACAUACGUUUUUUGUAGCUGUGCACAAUUUGUCAGUCUAUCCCUGUCCUUUUCACUGCUUAUUACUAGGAUUCGAUGCCCCCCCCCCCCCCCCCCUAAAUUUCUUUGCUUUUAUUUCUUUGCACGCUUGUCAUUUUCAUGCUUCAGCACCGGCUGUCUUUCUUCCAUACUAGAAAAAGAUGUGCCCUUCUCACAAAAUAUUUACCCUGACCUUCUAUCGCCAUUUUGAAGCCCAUAGAUUUUUGGAAUAUUUUUUCUACUUCAAAGUUUGCCUGCUUCCCUGAAUCACUCAUGUGGCGCGUUUGAUUGGUGCGAUCUAGAACAGGAUCGAACAGCUCGUGUACAAGGAGCAGCAUCAAACCAACCAAACAAUACUCCAGAAACACAGAAUACAUAACAUUUUGAUGGGGAAAUUGCGCCAAGCUUGUGCCAAGCUUGAUAGAAUUCAACGAAAUUUACAAGUUACUUUGUACGGUAUACAGUGAGUGCAAUAAAUACAUCGAGUCGUAAACUACCGGUAUUUUACUACUCCCUGGUAAAAUGCAACCCAAGAGCGAUAAUUUUGGACCCAAAUCGAUGCUCCUGCCAGGUUUCACCGUGGAAAAACUGAGCUGCUCAGGCUGCUACGGGUUCCAGGUUGGAGCACGCACAACGUGUGCUGGCCGAUCCAGAACAGGUUCAGUCGCAAGCAAAGGCACCAGUACACUGUACAGCAGGGAGCCCUUUUUCUUCGUAGUGGACAGGUGUGGUGGUGGUGGUGGUGGUGGGGAGAAGAUAUCAUUCGUUCUGCACCCCCUGCAUCCAUGGUCAGCAGACUCCAUUGCACCGCCUGGAACCUUAGUUCUGGUUUAUGGGUGAUGUUUAAGGUGGCAUUCCCCUCCCACAUUUGUCAGGGGGUCAACAUAGCUGGUGCAUAGGUGGUGAGAAGUGAUCAUCCAUUCUGCACGAGCCCGUCGUACGAAUGUGCCGUGAUCUGCUCGUUCAUAUCUCCUAGUCCUUGUCUGGCAUUUUCGUACGUUUACUUCCUAGGUUUCGAUGUACCAUCGCCUGCUGACUAAAUGCAUUUGGUGUGGUGGAAAAAAGCCACGAAACAUACGUUUUUUGUAGCUGUGCACAAUUUGUCAGUCUAUCCCUGUCCUUUUCACUGCUUAUUACUAGGAUUCGAUGCCCCCCUCCCCCCCCCUAAAUUUCUUUGCUAUUAUUUCUUUGCACGCUUGUCAUUUUCAUGCUUCAGCACCGGCUGUCUUUCUUCCAUACUAGAAAAAGAUGUGCCCUUCUCACAAAAUAUUUACCCUGACCUUCUAUCGCCAUUUUGAAGCCCAUAGAUUUUUGGAAUAUUUUUUCUACUUCAAAGUUUGCCUGCUUCCCUGAA
Molecule: RNA transcript, 9813 nt
Organism: Sycon ciliatum
Lineage: Eukaryota; Metazoa; Porifera; Calcarea; Leucosolenida; Sycettidae
Gene name: NBAS subunit of NRZ tethering complex-like
Exons: 72
Source: RefSeq, a predicted model, not a curated record